RNAcentral lists this ribosomal RNA (135 nucleotides) under uncultured Trebouxiophyceae. Its description in RNAcentral is "partial small subunit ribosomal RNA". It matches the Rfam family "Eukaryotic small subunit ribosomal RNA", at positions 1670 to 1804 of the family's 1831-position model. Lineage: Eukaryota; Viridiplantae; Chlorophyta; Trebouxiophyceae. The record is from RNAcentral.
CGCCCGUCGCUCCUACCGAUUGGAUGUGCUGGUGAAGCGUUCGGAUUGGCGGCAUCUUGCGGCAACGCGGGGUGCCGCCGAGAAGUUCGUUAAACCCUCCCAUCUAGAGGAAGGAGAAGUCGUAACAAGGUUUCC